Molecule: non-coding RNA, 103 nt
Organism: Acanthosepion pharaonis
Lineage: Eukaryota; Metazoa; Mollusca; Cephalopoda; Sepiida; Sepiidae
Source: the annotation of a GenBank genome assembly
UAUGGCCAUAUCACGUUGAAACGCCGAUUCCGUAUGAUCACCGAAGUUAAGCAACAUCGAGUAACGAGAUAGGUGACCGCUUGGGAAUACUAGGUGCUGUAAG